UUUCCGUAGGUGAACCUGCGGAAGGAUCAUUACAGGGUUCAUGCCCUCACGGGUAGAUCUCCCACCCUUGAAUAUUUAUACCUUAGUUGCUUUGGCAGGCCGUGGAAACACCAUGGGCUCCGGCUUAUGCGUGCCUGUCAGAGGAAACAAACUCUGUUUUUAGUGAUGUCUGAGUACUAUAUAAUAGUUAAAACUUUCAACAACGGAUCUCUUGGUUCUG
RNAcentral lists this unclassified non-coding RNA (220 nucleotides) under plant metagenome. RNAcentral's name for it is "partial contains small subunit ribosomal RNA, internal transcribed spacer 1, and 5.8S ribosomal RNA". The record is from RNAcentral.